GUCUAUGGCCAUGCCACCCUGUCAAGCCCAAUCCCAUCUGAUCUCUGAAGCUAAGCAGGGUCAGGCGUGGUUAGUACUUGGAUGGGAGACCACCUAGGAAGACCAGGUGCUAUCGCUG
RNAcentral lists this ribosomal RNA (118 nucleotides) under Pteropus alecto (black flying fox). RNAcentral also lists the same sequence under 1 other name. Lineage: Eukaryota; Metazoa; Chordata; Mammalia; Chiroptera; Pteropodidae. The record is from RNAcentral.